AGUGGCGAUCGGGUGAGUAACACGUGACUAACCUACCUUCGAGUGGGGAAUAACUCCGGGAAACCGGGGCUAAUACCGCAUAACAUCGCAAGAUCAAAGCAGCAAUGCGCUUGAAGAGGGGGUCGCGGCUGAUUAGCUAGUUGGCGGGGUAACGGCCCACCAAGGCGAAGAUCGGUAUCCGGCCUGAGAGGGCGCACGGACACACUGGAACUGAAACACGGUCCAGACUCCUACGGGAGGCAGCAGUGGGGAAUUUUGCGCAAUGGGGGAAACCCUGACGCAGCAACGCCGCGUGGAGGAUGAAGCCCCUUGGGGCGUAAACUCCUUUCGACCAAGACGAUAAUGACGGUACUGGUGGAAGAAGCACCGGCUAACUCUGUGCCAGCAGCCGCGGUAAUACAGAGGGUGCGAGCGUUGUUCGGAAUUAUUGGGCGUAAAGGGCGCGUAGGCGGUGCGGUAAGUCACCUGUGAAAUCUCCAGGCUUAACUUGGAGUCUGCAGGCGA
RNAcentral lists this ribosomal RNA (504 nucleotides) under uncultured bacterium. Its description in RNAcentral is "bacterial SSU rRNA". It matches the Rfam family "Bacterial small subunit ribosomal RNA", at positions 94 to 630 of the family's 1533-position model. The record is from RNAcentral.